RNAcentral lists this unclassified non-coding RNA (506 nucleotides) under Hevea brasiliensis (rubber tree). Lineage: Eukaryota; Viridiplantae; Streptophyta; Magnoliopsida; Malpighiales; Euphorbiaceae. The record is from RNAcentral.
AGAAGAUGUAUGGACAUUCAACCAUGGAAGUUCAGGAAGCUUUUGUGAAAAUAAGAGAACAAGCAAAAGCUUAUUUAGAAAUGAAGGGAGAGUUGACUAGUGGCCUUAAUUUGAUAAACAGUACUAAUCUGGAGUAUUUUUCUGUCAAGCACAAAGCUGAAAUCUUUCGCCUCAAGGGAGACUUUCUGUUAAAGCUUAAUGAUUGUGAAGGGGCUAAUCUUGCUUAUUCAAAUGCCAUCAGUCUAUUCAAGAAUCUGCCGAAGGGGUGGAUUAGUUGGGGAAACUAUUGUGACAUGGCUUAUAAGGAAACACACGAAGAGAUUUGGUUAGAAUACUCUGUUAGCUGCUUCUUACAAGGCAUCAAAUUUGGUAUUCCUAAUUCGAGAGGCCACCUGGCACGGGUUCUAUAUCUUCUCAGUUUUGAUACUCCAAAUGAACCUGUUGGGAGAUCAUUUGAUAAGUACCUGGAGCAGAUACCCAACUGGGUUUGGCUUUCUUGGAUUCCA